CCUACGGGGGGCAGCAGUGAGGAAUAUUGGUCAAUGGACGAGAGUCUGAACCAGCCAAGUAGCGUGAAGGAUGACUGCCCUAUGGGUUGUAAACUUCUUUUAUAUGGGAAUAAAAUGUUCCACGUGUGGGAUUUUGUAUGUACCAUAUGAAUGAGGAUCGGCUAACUCCGUGCCAGCAGCCGCGGUAAUACGGAGGAUCCGAGCGUUAUCCGGAUUUAUUGGGUUUAAAGGGAGCGUAGGUGGAUUGUUAAGUCAGUUGUGAAAGUUUGCGGCUCAACCGUAAAAUUGCAGUUGAAACUGGCAGUCUUGAGUACAGUAGAGGUGGGCGGAAUUCGUGGUGUAGCGGUGAAAUGCUUAGAUAUCACGAAGAACUCCGAUUGCGAAGGCAGUUCACUGGACUGCAACUGACACUGAGGCUCGAAAGUGUGGGUAUCAAACAGGAUUAGAUACCCCUGUAGUC
RNAcentral lists this ribosomal RNA (460 nucleotides) under uncultured bacterium. Its description in RNAcentral is "partial 16S ribosomal RNA". It matches the Rfam family "Bacterial small subunit ribosomal RNA", at positions 338 to 795 of the family's 1533-position model. The record is from RNAcentral.